AAUCGGCAAUUUCCGCCGCUCCAAGCACAGGGCAGAUUCCUCUCAAUUUCGGUUCCUUCUUCCUCUUUUAUUUUCCUUUUAUUAUUUUGUUUUUAAUUCAGCCAAUGAGUGGCUGAUUCUUUUAAUUCUAGUUGAGGAUUGGUUGAAACUAAGGUUGUUUAAUGGGUUGUGAGAUCUGAACAUAAAUUAUCGUCUUUGGUUUUGUUCAAUAUUUAUGCAAUUGAUGCUUUAAUUAUAUGAUUACUUUGUUGUUUUGAUCAAAUUGGCCACUUGGUUUUAAUUGCAAAGUUAAUUGAUUGUUAGUUGGGAUUAUUUUUAGUCCGUAAUUACUGGAAAUAUUCUGACCUUAGAACACUUGGCGUAAAAACCAAGGAAUUGCAUGAUCUAGCGUUAUCUCCAUACGUUUGGGUAGCUAGGAUUGGAUCUCUCUAUUUCUUUAUGCAAUUGACAAUUGUUUUGAUGCCUAUGACCCAAGGACGUUCCUUGGCAAUUUGUUAAUUAGUAAUUAAUUUAAUCAUAAGGAGAGACAUGGUGGUGAGAAGCGUCUUCCACCCCCAUAACUAAUCUAUUGAACCAAUCAAGAUAAUCUAAGUUUCAAUGAUCAACCCAAACAACCAAAGUGGAUCCAUAUCUUCAACUAGACUUCUCUCAUAUUGAUUUUCUCUUUUAUUUUAAUUAUUUGCUUUCUAUUAUUACUCUCAUUAUUAGUUACUACAAUCAAUCUCAAACCCCCCUAUUCUACUUUUAUUGCAAUUUAUUUUUAUUCUGCUUCCAGUUUAUCUCAUUUGAUCCCACUUUCAGUCUUUUAUCUCAUCUUUAAUUUAUUAUUGUUUCAGUUCAUUUUAUUGGUCUUGUUGAGAAAAAUAAAUAGGUAAUCAAUUCUCUGUGGAUUCGAUCCUUUCACCACUAUCUGCAGUUGUAAAAUUGUUGAUAACCAGGAAGGUUAUUUUUGACCGGCUUCGACAACCGCGAGUCAAAAAUUGGCGCCGUUGCCGGGGAAUUAAUUUCACUUGUUUGUUUGUUUUUUUUUUCAUGACCAGAUCUGAACACAGGGACACACUGCCCUUUGAUCCAAAAAUUGAACGCACUCUCAGAAGACUUAGAAAGCAAGCCGCAGAAGCUUCAUCUGAAGCAAUCGAAUUUUACCAACAAGCUGCACCAAUGGCUGAACCUAUUCCACAAGAUGCUGCCCCAAAUGGACUUGCUAUCCAGAACCAAAUAGUCCAAGAAAAUCCAGCAAAUAGGCCUCAAGAACAAAGAGAAAGAAUUAUGGGAGAAUUGGCAACCCCUGUAGGUGACUAUGCACCACUUUGCAUCACCUACCCACCUCUGACAGUUCCCUUUGAACUGAAGACAGGUUUGAUACACAUUCUCCCUAAGUUUAGUGGUAGAGAAAAUGAAAAUCCACACAAGCACUUAAAAGCAUUCAAUAUGAUCUGUUCAUCUAUGAAACCUCAAGGUAUCUCUGAAGACCAAAUUAAGUUAAGAGCCUUCCCCUUUUCAUUAGAAGACUUUACUAAAGAUUGGUUAUUUUACUUGCCACCUGGAUCUAUUACUUCUUGGGAUGAUAUGGUCAAAGCCUUUUUGAAUAAAUACUUCCCAACCCAUAAAUCAAUUGGUAUAAUAAGGGAAAUCACAAGCAUAAAGCAAAAACCAUCUGAGGACCUUUAUGAUUAUUGGGAAAGAUUUGAAACACUUUGCACAGAAUGCCCUCAACAUGACAUGUCAGACAAGGCCCUUAUACAAUUCUUCUAUGGAGGAUUAUCUCCCUUAGAAAGAAAAUUCAUUUAUGUAACCUGUGGAGGCUCCAUUGAAGACAAAACACCUAGACAAAUGAGAGAAUUAAUCUCCACUCUUGCAGCCUCAUCUAGGCAAUAUGGAGAAGAGAGGCAACUACAAAGGGCCAAUGAGGUAAAUUUUCCUUCUAUGUCUGAACUAACAUCUGUUAUAAAAAAUGCUGUGGUAGAUGUGGUACAGCAGAUUCAAGCACCCCAGCCACCUAGGCCAUGUGGGAUUUGUUUAUGUGUGGGACACCUAACUGAUCAAUGUUCCACACUCCAAGAAGACCAUCAGCAAGCCAACGCCAUUGGGAGGUACAACAACCAGCCUAGAUAUGAUCCAUACUCCACUACAUACAAUCCAGGUUGGAAAGAUCACCCCAAUUUUAGCUAUGGAAAGAGCAACAGUGAUCAGAACUACCAAAGUUACCAAAGAAAUCAAGCCCAACCAGCACCUUCAACUCCAAAUCAGAACCUUGAGAAGAUCAUGCAAACAAUGAUGGAAACAAUGGUGAGCACCAUGCAAGGCGUGCGACAAGACCUAGGCCAAAUGACCACAUCUAUGCAAGGCGUGCGACAGGACCUAAGCCAAAUGGCCACCUCUAUAGGCCAACUGCAAUCCCAAGGUAAGCUCCCUUCUCAAACUGAAACCAACCCCAGACAGAAUGUUAGUGCUAUUACUUUGAGAAGUGGCAAAGAGCUUCGAGACACUAAUCAUGAGCAAGAAAAAGAACCAAAGCCACCUGAAGCCUCUCCAUCGCAAUCUGCAGCUCCUCCUGCGCAAAAAACUGACCCAAAGGUAAGCUUUCACAUUCCACCUCCUUUUCCCAAGAGAUUUGAAAGAACACAAAAAGAAAAGGAAGAAAAGGAGAUCCUUGACACUUUCAGAAAAGUACAAAUCAAUAUACCUCUGCUAGAUGCUGUUAAGCAGAUUCCCAUAUACGCUAAAUUUCUGAAAGAACUUUGCACUAAUAGGAGAAAGCUUGCAGAGAGAGAAAAAGUAAGUGUAGGUGAGGUUGUGACUGCUGUUAUUAAAAGAGAACUCCCUACUAAAUGCAAAGACAAAGGUAUGUUUGCUAUCUCCUGCAAGAUAGGGAAUGUUGAUAUUAAGAAAGCCAUGUGUGAUCUUGGUGCAUCCAUAAAUGUCAUGCCUCUCUCCAUCUAUAAAUCUCUCAAUGCUUGUGCACUCAAAGAAACAAGAGUUGUGAUUCAACUAGCUGAUAGAUCUGUGGUAUAUUCCAUAGGUGUUCUAGAAGAUGUGUUAGUUCAAGUAAAUGAACUAGUCUUUCCUGCUGAUUUUUAUGUGAUUGAUACUAAGGAAGAUAGUUAUAAUACUAGUUCUGAUAUCCUUCUUGGACGUCCUUUCUUGAGUCCUGCUAGAACUAAGAUUGAUGUGCAUGAUGGUACUCUCACUAUGGAAUUUGAAGGGGAAGUAAUUAAAUUUAAUGUCUAUGAUGCUAUGAAAUAUCCAUAUGAUAUGUCACCUGUUUAUGGUCUUGAUAUUGUUGACUGCUUGAGCCAGGAAAUUUUUGACAAAAAUCAAGAUGAUAUUCUUAACAGUGAUUUCUGCAGAGAUACUGAUCAGGUAUAGAUUGAGAGCCAGAAAGAGCCAAAACUGAAAGAAAUUGUCUGUAGCAUCCAGCAGAUAGUUUACAGUCAAGCACAGAACGAGGGAAACUCCCUUCAGAAGGAUGCGCAGAAGAGCCUUGCGCCAUCUGAAACACCUUCAUGCGCAACUCUUCAGCUCCUAACGCAAAGCUCACCCGCGACUCUUCAUGCGCAACUCUCAUUAUUAGUUACUACAAUCAAUCUCAAACCCCCCAUUCUACUUUUAUUGCAAUUUAUUUUUAUUCUGCUUCCAGUUUAUCUCAUUUGAUCCCACUUUCAGUCUUUUAUCUCAUCUUUAAUUUAUUAUUGUUUCAGUUCAUUUUAUUGGUCUUGUUGAGAAAAAUAAAUAGGUAAUCAAUUCUCUGUGGAUUCGAUCCUUUCACCACUAUCUGCAGUUGUAAAAUUGUUGAUAACCAGGAAGGUUAUUUUUGACCGGCUUCGACAACCGCGAGUCAGAUACAAUCCCAUACAUGAUCAUACUUUGGCAUAAAAACUUAAACUUUUUCAUACACCAACCUUGACCUGUGCAUGCACUAUAACUGAAAACAUACAAACCCCAUACUAGAGCCCUCAUCAAAUGCUCUAGUUGGGUCAACACAUCAUAUGUCAAGCCUGAUUCAACAUAACUCAGCAUUAAAACAUUUCAUAUAGAUCAUGUACAAAAGGGAUUAACCAUACAUUAGGGCCAAGCACAAUUCUAAUCCUCAUUACAUCACUAUACAAUACUUUACACUACAUUACUUUAUUUUACAUACCAUGUCCACUACUAAUCUAUUACAUAACUAUAACUUUUACCCUUGACGACCUCCCAGUCUAUUCUGAACCUGCAAACCUGGGGGUUAAGAAAAAGGGGUGAGCUACAAGAGCCCACUGAGCAGAACAAUAAAAACAAUUUCUAAACAUAUGCCAUCAUAAAAUGCAUCACAUCACAAACAAUUCAUGUCACGGAUGGAUUUGUCACCAAUAACCCUCUACAUAGUCCAAUUGUGCCAGGGGCGUAGAAUGGGCCUCACUGGACUUCCAUACCGUAUCAUAACAUGCCAUAUCGAGGGCUAGUGGAUCAUCCAAUAUCCAUCCACAUCAACAUCAUAUUAUGCAAUGCAUCAUAUUCGUGAAUUCUAAUGCAAAACAACCUAAUAUAUAUCGUGGCAUUCGUGAUGCAUGGAUCAUGCUAAAAAGAUUUCAUUGCGUUGAAAAUAAAAGAAGUUCUGUUCUACUCACCUCUGGCUGACUCUGGACUAACUCUGAAGCAGCUAACACUGCUGGCCUCCUCGGUUCCUCGGGUUCGAUCCUACACAGGUGGACUCAAAUGAGGGACCAAACAAACUCUAAACAUCUCCCCAAAAACCCCCUAAAACAUUCAAAGAAAACAUGCAAAGGAAGGCUGAACAGGGCACUUUCGGUGGCAGGUUCGGCGGCCGAAAGUCCCUCCAGAGCUGAAAGUCAGGCACUUUCAGGGGCAGGGUUCGGCGGCCGAAAGUCCUUCCAGAGCCGAAAGUCACCCACUUUCGGGGGCAGGUUCGGCGGCCGAAACUCCCCUCCAGAGUCGAAAGUCCAAACUUUCGGGGGCGAGUUUAGGCGGCCAAACUGCCUCCACAGGCAGGUUCAGCGGCCGAACAUGGCUUCGACAGCCGAAAAUGGCAAAACCCAAUUCCGCCUCAUGCAUUCAGCCACCCAAAACUUCACAACAUGCAUUUAACCAUUCUAAAACAUGUAUAAACACUUAUUCAAGCAUAUAGGGGCAUAAAACUAGGCUAAACCCCAACAAGCAUCACAUUAAGCAUACAUUUAACAUAAAGGGUACAUAAACCCUAAUAUUAAACAACUAGCCUAAACAUGCAUUAAAACCCCUUAACCCUUCAUAAAACUUACUUAGAACAUAAAAGAAGAUAUAACCUACACUUACCUCUUGAAGAUCGAGAUGAGAGGUGAUCCAAACUUGGAGAUUGGGAGAAAUCGAGCUCCGGGGGUCUCCAAGCCUCAAAACUUUAAUCUUAGCUCAAAAAUAUUCAAAACAACGUAAAACUCAUCAAAAACUUGAAAAGAUUGAAGGAAAACAACAAAUCGACCAUGGAAGGGCAAAAUCUCACCUAUGCCCGAAAAUAGAGAGAGAAAACUCGCCCAUUUUCGAACAAGGGGCCUUUUAUAAGUGGCUGGCCAGACUACCUUUGGGGGCCAAAGGUACUUCCGCAAACUCCCCAUGUUCGGCGGCCGAACCUGAGUUUUCUUCCUUGGUCUUUUCUUUCAAAACUCAUUUUCUUUCUUUAUUAAAACCAUAAAAACACAUGAAAACACUUUAGAAAACCAUAAUUUACCCUUCUAUAGGGUUUCGACAUUCGAGGUUCCACUGGAAAGUGAGAAUUCUGAUGCCGGAGCCUAGCCGGGUAUUACAUUCUUCCCCCCUUAAGAACAUUCGUCCCCGAAUGUUCAAUAAACAAGCAUAGCAUGGCAUAACACACAUACCAACAAGGAAGCUGUAAUACCCGGUUAGACUCCGGUAUCAGAAUUCCUACCGUCCGGUGGAAUCUCGGAUGUCGAAAACCUCUAGAAGGGAAAAAUCAUGUUUUUAUAAAAUAUUUUAAUGUAUUUUAUGUUUUAAGUGAAAAGGAAAUUGAGUUUUGUAUGAAAAAGACCAAGGAGGCAUUUCCAGGUUCGGCCGUCGAACCUCAAGUUCGGCCGCCGAAGGUGGGAUGGUUUAGGGGGGCAUGUUAGGCUUCCGAAAGUCUCAAAAGGUUCGGCCGCUGAACCUCAUGUUCGGCCGCCGAACUUGCAUGAGAUGUGGGGGCACGUUCGGCUGCCGAAAGGUGGUCUGCCAGCCCUAUAUAAAGAGCUCCAUGGCCGAAACGGGCGAGUUUUCUCCCCAUUUUCGGCCACGGUGAGUUCAUGCUCUCCUUUGGUUCGUUUUUGAUGUUUUUCCUACGAUCUCUCACAUUUUAACAAGCUUUAUAUUGAUUUGAAGAGAUUUGAGCAAAAAGAGCAAGUUUGGAAGCUUGGAGACUAAAGAGUGGAUUUCUCCCUACCUCCAAGCUAGGAUCAUCUUUCCUCUAGAUCUUCAAGAGGUAAGUUUAGAUCCAACCUUUCUGGCAUGUUUUAAACUAGUUUUUAUGAAGAUCUAUGGGGUAGAAAUGCAUGAUAGGUUAUUGUUAUGUUUAUGGGUGUAUGUAUGUUUAUGAACAAUGUGGGUUGUUUGAUGUGUUGUAGAUGGGGUUUAGGAUAGUUUGAAGCCCCUAGGAGCUUGUAUGCUUGUGGAUGCAUGUUGUAGAAUAGGAAAAUGCAUGAUUGAAUGUGUUGGGAGGCGUUUAUGCAUGUUGAGCUGAGUUUCUGCCCUUCUGGGAGAAACCAGGUUAGGCAGCCGAAGGUUCUUUCGGCCGUCGAACCUGCCUGUGAUAGCAUGAAUCGGCUGCCAAACCCUGCCCCCGAAAGAUGACUUUCGGCUCUGGAAGGGACUUUCGGUCGCCAAAGGUACCGCCGAACAUGCAUGAGUUUCGUCUCUGGAGGGAACCUUCGGUCGCCGAAAGUGCCGCCGAAGGUGCAUGAGUUUCGGCUCUGGAGGGCCUUUCGGCCGCCGAACCUGCCGCCGAAAGUGCCCUGUUCAGCCCUCCUUUACAUGUUUUCUAUGGAUGUUUUAAGGUGUUUUAGGGGGUUUUUGGAGAGUAUUUUCAGAGUUAUGUUCAUAGAUGUUUGGUCCCUCAUUUGAGUCCACCUGUGUAGGUUUGGACCCGAGGAACCGAGGACCCCAGCAGUGAGUCAGCUGCCCCAGUGUCUGGUCUGAGCUAACCAGAGGUGAGUGGAAUAACUCUUUACGUUUUAAAAUAAAUAAUAAAUGAUUCAGCAUGAUUCAUGCAUCACGAAUGCCAUGUGAUAUAAUAGGUUGUUGCAUUAGAAUCCACGAAUAUGUUGCACUGCAUUCUUUAUUGUGGAUGUGGGUGAAUGCUGUAUGAUCCAAAUAGUCCCUGAGGAAAGACCAGGACCCCAUUCUACGGCCUGGCAUGGAAUGAAAGACCAGGACCCCAUUCUAUGGCCUGGCACAAUAUGGAAUGCGAAGACCAGGUGCCAGGUGCCAGAUGAGGCCCUAGGGAAAUGGUAAGUAAUGUUAUGAUAUGACAGGAAGACCAGAACUCCAUUCUACGGCCUGGCACGGAUAUGAUGCUGGGACUAAUUAGUGACAGGUUCACCCUUGAUGUGAAUUGUCUGUGAUGUGACUCAUUUCAUGAAAGCAUGAAUGUUAAUAUAUGUUUUUACUAUUCUGCUCACUGGGCUCUAGUAGCUCACCCCUCUCCCUUAACCCCCAGGUUUGCAGGUACAGGGUAGACCAGGAGGUCAGCAAGAGUAAUGAAGUCAUGGUCAUGUAAUAGCUAGAGUGGACAUGAUAAAUGUUGUUAUGUUAUGUUGAGUACAGUAAUGUAAAAGUAUGAUAUAGAAUGUCAUGUAAUAAUGCUUAUGAAAGUUUAUAGUUGUACUUGACCAUAGUAUUAUGUUAAUCCCUUCUAAUACAUGAUCUUAAUGUUUAAUGAUGCUUAUAUGAACCAAACUCAAUACAUGUUAUAUCACCCCUUUGGGGCAAUGAUGAGACUCCACAGAGAAGUUAAUGUUUAUGUAUAGUGCAUGCACAGGUUGAGUUUGGUGAAUGAAUGAAUGGAAAGAAAAGUUUAAAUUUUUUAUGUUUGUUGUUGAUCAUGUAUGGGAUUAAACAGGUUUACAGGAUGAUGUUAGGCUUACUACGGGUCCCGGCGGCCUUAUGCCGACCUGGAUCCUAGCGCUGGUAGCGGUCCGAAUUUUUGGGUCGUUACAGAUUGGUAUCAGAGCCCUAGGUUCAUAUGGUCGGACCUAGAGUGUCGGGCUCAUAGAUGUUAUAGAAGGUCAAGCACAAUAGGAAAAUCAUGUCUACUAGGAUAGGAUGUAGAGUCCUGUCUUGAUUGAUGAUGUGAAAUGCCAUGAGUUUAUGCAUGUGCAUUAAUGAUAUGCUAUGUAUGUGACGUAUGCGAUGCGGGUUCAUGUGUUUGCACAUGAACCAUUUGAUGCUAAUGUUUAUGUGAUGUGUGCUGUUUUUCAGUAAACAGGAUGAGAGGAACUCGUCGAUCUGCACGAUUGACUGGAGUACCACCCCAGGACGAGGGCACUGAUGCCCGUCCUCCUGCAUUGCCUAGGGCAAUGUCAAGUAGGUCCAGCAGAGAAAGAGCAGUAAGAGACCCUAGAAGGUCUUUAGAUCUGGGUAGAAGCACAUCAGUGAGGGGAACAGUGCAAAGGGAUAUGUCAGAGGAUGUGGGGGAUCAGAUGGAUGUGGAUCAGAAGAGGGAUGGUAGUCUCGGAGUAAGUAUGUCGGAAGAGGGAAUGAGAGAGUCCCAAGGAGGCACUCAGGCCUCGGGAUUUGUUCAGCCACCUUACUACCCAUCCUUUUCACAUAACCCCGGGUAUUCGAUGGGAGGUACAUCGGAUUAUCCCAGUUUUAACCCUUAUCCCUCUCAGAUGCCAUACCCACCUUUCUACCCACCGUACCCACAGUACCCCAUGUACCCACCCCCAUCUUUCUAUCCAGGUACAGCAAACCCUACCCCAGGGGAUGCUGCACCUCCUCCACCACCAGCAGCACCUACUGUCCCAGAAAUCCAAAUGCCUAAGCCUAGCUCAUCUGGGGGGAGCAAGGUCAAGAUGAUCGAUUACAUGAAGUUGGGUGCUCCCCAGUUUGAAACCGGUGAUGACCCAUUUGUGUACCUUGAGAGGGUCAAGACAAUUACAGAUGAGAUAGGAGCUGAUGACAGUAGAGCCAUCCAGAUGGCUAGGUUCACAUUAAAAUGCAAGAAGGCCCGAGAGUGGUUUAAGAAUUAUGUGAACCCGAGGUUGGAUAGUCUAUCCUGGGAAGAGUUUGCAAAUGAGUUUGCAGGAUGGGCUUUCCCUGACAGUUCCAAGGAGCUGAAAAUGAUUGAAUUUGAGCAGUUGAGGCAGACAGAUGAGAUGAGCGUGGAUGAGUAUACAGACAGAUUCUUGGAGCUGUUGCCGUAUGCUGGGCAGAAUCUGGACACAGAUCAGAGGAAGUCAAGGAGGUAUAUCAUGAGGCUCCAUUCCAUGUACUCCUCCUUGAUUCAGUCAGCAGAGAGGGAGAGUUUCCAUGCCAUAGUGGAUAUGGCUCGGAGGAUGGAGGCUAGUGCUAUCAUCGAAGGGAAAGUCAAGCAGUCAGUGGCACAGCCUUCUGGUUCCAAGACCCCAGGUGGGGGAAAGUUAGACCCUUCUUCUCUCAGUUCAGGCAGUAAGAGAUGGGGUAAGGCCAAGUCUAAGAAGAACAAGUUCUGGAGCAAGAUUAAGUCAGGUCUGGGAUUAGGUAGUGGCUCAAGCUCUGGUGCAGAUAAUGCAGUAUGUGCAAGGUGUGGUAAGCCACACAAGGGAGUCUGCCGGGCUAGGACGGCAGCCUGUUUCAGAUGUGGGCAAGAGGGCCACAUGGCUCGGGAGUGUCCUAGGGCAGCCUUUGGGGCACAGUCUCAGCAGACAGCUUCAGGUAGUGUGGCACAGCCAGUAGCUCCAGCCGCGACUCAGGCUAGUGGUAGAGGCAGAGAAAGAGGGGCAGCCUCUUCUUCAGCGGGUUUCAGGGGUGAGGGUCUGUCAGCUCCAGCACGGAUCUUUACCAUGACUCAGCAGGAGGCAAACACAUCCAACACCGUGGUGUCAGGUAAUCUCAUCAUUGGUUGUUCCGAUGUGUAUGCAUUAUUGGACCCUGGUGCAUCUCAUUCUUUCAUUGCUUCGAGGGCCGUCGAGAGAUUGGGAUUGAUGGUCUUUGGGUUAGAGUGUCCCCUAUGGGUCAGUGGACCCAAGUGUGACCCGUCAGUGGUAGAGUCAAUCUGCCAGUGUAGUCCAGUUUUUAUAGAGGGAAGAUGCCUUUCUGCCGACCUUGUGGUUCUAGACUUGAAUGAUUUUGACGUCAUUCUAGGGAUGGAUUGGCUAUCUACCCAUGGUGCUACCUUGGAUUGCAGAGACAAGGUAGUCAGGUUCAGAUGUCAGGAUGGGUCAGAGGUUGUCUUCAGAGGAGACAGGGGGAGUACACCUAGAGGUUUGAUAUCAGCCCUUCAGGCUCGUAGGCUACUCAGGAGGGGUUGUCAGGGUUUUCUGGCUCAUGUGAGGGAGCUGGAUAGUCAUGUUAGAGAGCCCGCCUCAGUGCCCGUGGUCAGUGAGUUCUUAGACGUUUUCCCAGACGAGCUGCCAGGUUUACCACCUGCUAGGGAGAUAGAGUUCGAAAUUGAGUUAAUGCCUGGAACCAGACCGAUCUCUAUCCCUCCCUACAGGAUGGCACCAGCAGAAUUGAAAGAGUUAAAAGAACAGUUGCAAGAGCUGGUAGAUAGGGGAUUCAUCCGAUCGAGUACCUCACCUUGGGGUGCUCCAGUGCUAUUUGUGAAAAAGAAAGAUGGAUCCCUUAGACUUUGUAUCGACUACAGACAGUUGAACAAGGUCACUACCAAGAAUAAGUACCCGUUGCCAAGGAUCGACGAUCUAUUUGACCAGCUAGCCGAAGCAGUUUGUUUCUCCAAAAUAGAUCUGAGAUCGGGGUACCAUCAGUUAAGAAUAAGAGAAGAGGAUGUGCCGAAGACAGCCUUAAGGACCAUAUAUGGGCAUUAUGAGUUCCUUGUGAUGCCGUUCGGGUUAACCAAUGCCCCUGCAGCAUUCAUGGAUCUCAUGAACAGAGUGUUUAGUCAAUACCUGGAUCACUUUGUUAUUGUCUUCAUAGAUGAUAUCUUAGUGUAUUCCAGGAAUGCAGAGGAGCAUGCCCAUCAUCUGAGGUUGGUUUUGCAGACCUUGAGGGAACAUGGCUUGUAUGCCAAGUUCUCCAAGUGUGAGUUCUGGCUGAGGAGCAUUUCAUUCUUGGGGCAUGUGGUGUCAGAAAAUGGAAUCGAGGUAGACCCCAAGAAAGUGGAAGCUAUAGCGAACUGGCCUAGACCCACUACAGUGACAGAGAUCAAGAGCUUCUUGGGUUUAGCAGGUUACUACAGGAGGUUCGUUCAGGACUUCUCUAAGAUUGCAGCUCCCAUGACCAGACUGACUAAGAAGAACUAGAGGUUUGCGUGGACCGACCAGUGUGAGGAGAGCUUUGAGGAGCUAAAGAAGAGGUUGACUUCAGCACCAGUGUUAGCUCUGCCAUCUAGUGAUGAAGACUUCUCAGUCUAUUGUGAUGCGUCCCGUGUGGGACUGGGUUGUGUGCUAAUGCAGAAUGAAAGGGUGAUUGCUUAUGCUUCUAGGCAGCUAAAGAAGCACGAGUUGAAUUACCCUAAACAUGACCUAGAGAUGGCAGUGGUGAUCUUUGCACUCAAGAUGUGGAGGCACUACCUUUAUGGGGUUAAAUGUGAGAUCUUCACAGAUCAUAAAAGCCUACAGUACAUCCUGAGUCAGAGAGAUUUGAAUUUGAGGCAGAGAAGAUGGGUAGAACUGCUCAGUGACUAUGAUUGCAAGAUCCAGUACCAUCCGGGUAAGGCGAAUGUUGUGGCAGACGCCUUAAGCCGGAAAUCACUUGGCAGUUUGUCCCAUAUUUCAGCAGAGAGGAGGCCAGUAGUAAGGGAGUUCUUCGAGCUCAUGAAUGAAGGUCUACAGUUGGAGUUGUCUGGUACAGGUGCUUUAGUUGCCCAGAUGAGAGUGGCACCCGUGUUUCUGGAACAGGUGGCUCAGAAACAGCAUGAGGACCCAGAGUUAGUGAAGAUUGCCAGGACUGUUCAGUCAGGCAAAGAUAGUGAGUUUAGAUUUGACAAUAAGGGGAUCAUCCACUAUGGGAGCAGAUUGUGUGUACCAGAUGACAUAGGGCUAAAGGGAGACAUUAUGAGAGAGGCUCAUAAUGCCAGGUACAGUGUUCACCCUGGAGCCACCAAGAUGUAUCAAGAUAUGAAGAAAGUGUAUUGGUGGCCAGCUAUGAAGAAAGAAGUGGCACAGUUUGUGUCAGCCUGCGAAGUGUGUCAGAGGGUGAAGCUGGAACAUCAGAAGCUGGCUGGAAUGCUUAACCCACUACCUAUUCCAGAGUGGAAAUGGGAGAAUAUAGUUAUGGAUUUCGUGGUGGGGCUACCGGCGGCGUCCAACAGAUUGGACUCCAUAUGGGUGAUUGUGGACAGACUCACCAAAUUUGCUCACUUCAUCCCUGUCAGGAGUGGCUAUUCUGUGGACAAGUUAGCGCAGGUGUAUGUUGAUAAGGUUGUCAGGUUGCAUGGGGUUCCUGUCUCAAUAGUGUCUGAUAGAGGGCCCCAGUUCACCUCCAGGUUUUGGCGGAGUCUGCAGAACGCUAUGGGUACCAGGUUGGAUUUUAGCACUGCUUUCCAUCCACAAACGGACGGACAAUCAGAGAGGACCAUCCAGACAAUAGAGGAUAUGCUCAGAAUGUAUGUGUUGGAUUUUGGCGGUUCUUGGAGGCAGCAUCUACCUUUAAUGGAGUUUGCCUACAAUAACAGCCAUCAUGCCAGCAUAGGGAUGGCCCCAUAUGAAGCUUUCUAUGGAAGGAAGUGCAGGUCGCCUGUCUGUUGGGAAGAAGUAGGAGAAAAGGCCUUGGCAGGGCCUGAGCUAGUAGAGAUCACCAGCAGAGUGGUGCCCAUAAUCAGAGAAAGGAUCAAGACUGCUGCAAGCAGACAGAAGAGUUGUGCAGAUAUCCGCAGAAGGCAAGUGGAGUUUCAGGAGGGAGAUUUGGUAUUGCUCAAGGUGUCUCCAAUGAAAGGGGUGAUUCAGUUUGGGAAGAAAGGUAAGCUAGCUCCACGGUACAUUGGACCCUUUGAAGUCUUGCAAAAGAUUGGGAAUGUAUCGUACAAGCUGGACUUGCCUGCUUCAAUGGAGAGAAUCCAUCCGGUUUUCCAUGUUUCCAUAUUAAGAAAGUUCGUGUCAGAUCCGGGCAAGGUUCUUAGUGAGCCUGAUGUGGAGAUCCAAGGGGAUCUCACCUAUGUUGAGCAGCCAGUACGGAUCCUAGACACCCAGAUCAGAAAGCUAAGAAACAAGGAAAUCCCGAUGGUGAAAGUCCUUUGGAAUCACCACAACAUCGAAGAGUGUACUUAGGAGACACGGGAGUCUAUGCUCCGGUAAUAUCCUAAUCUCUUCUAAGGUGAGUUUUAUAUGCUUUGUAUGAAUGUUUAUGUUUUAUGCUAUGCAUGUGUUGUUUGGUGAACAUUCAGGGACGAAUGUUCUUAAGGGGGGAAGAAUGUAAUACCCAGCUAGACUCCGGUAACGGAAUUCCUACCGUCCGGUGGAAUCUCGGAUGUCGAAAACCUCUAGAAGGGAAAAAUCAUGUUUUUAUAAAAUAGUUUAAUGUAUUUUAUGUUUUAAGUGAAAAGGAAAUUGAGUUUUGUAUGAAAAAGACCAAGGAGGCAUUUCCAGGUUCGGCCGCCGAACCUCAAGUUCGACCGCCGAAUGUGGGAUGGUUUAGGGGGGCAUGUUAGGCUUCCGAAGGUCUCAAAAGGUUCGGCCGCCGAACCUCAUGUUCGGCCGCCGAACUUGCAUGAGAUGUGGGGGCACGUUCGGCUGCCGAAAGGUGGUCUGCCAGCCCUAUAUAAAGAGCUCCAUGGCCGAAACGGGCGAGUUUUCUCCCCAUUUUCGGCCACAGUGAGUUCAUGCUCUCCUUUGGUUCGUUUUUUAUGUUUUUCCUACGAUCUCUCACGUUUUAACAAGCUUUAUAUUGAUUUGAAGAGAUUUGAGCAAAAAGAGCAAGUUUGGAAGCUUGGAGACCAAAGAGUGGAUUUCUCCCUACCUCCAAGCUAGGAUCGUCUUUCCUCUCGAUCUUCAAGAGGUGAGCUUAGAUCCAACCUUUCUUGCAUGUUUUAAACUAGUUUUUAUGAAGAUCUAUGGGGUAGAAAUGCAUGAUAGGUUAUUGUUAUGUUUAUGGGUGUAUGUAUGUUUAUGAACAAUGUGGGUUGUUUGAUGUGUUGUAGAUGGGGUUUAGGAUAGUUUGAAGCCCCUAGGAGCUUGUAUGCUUGUGGAUGCAUGUUGUAGAAUAGGAAAAUGCAUGAUUGAAUGUGUUGGGAGGCGUUUAUGCAUGUUGAGCUGAGUUUCUGCCCUUCUGGGAGAAACCAGGUUCGGCAGCCGAAGGUUCUUUCGGCACCCGAACCUGCCUGUGGUAGCAUGAAUCGGCUGCCGAACCCUGCCCCCGAAAGAUGACUUUCGGCUCUGAAAGGGACUUUCGGCUCUGAAAGGGACUUUCGGCCGCCGAAGGUGCCGCCGAACAUGCAUGAGUUUCGUCUCUGGAGGGAACCUUCGGCCGCCGAAAGUGCCGCCGAAGGUGCAUGAGUUUUGGCUCUGGAGGGCCUUUCGGCCGCCGAACCUACCGCUGAAAGUGCCCUGUUCAGCCCUCCUUUGCAUGUUUUCUAUGGAUGUUUUAAGGUGUUUUAGGGGAUUUUUGGGGAGUAUUUUCAGAGUUAUGUUCAUAGAUGUUUGGUCCCUCAUUUGAGUCCACCUGUGUAGGUUUGGACCCGAGGAACCGAGGACCCCAGCAGUGAGUCAGCUACCCCAGUGUCUGGUCUGAGCUAACCAGAGGUGAGUGGAAUAACUCUUUACGUUUUAAAAUAAAUAAUAAAUGAUUCAGCAUGAUUCAUGCAUCACGAAUGCCAUGUGAUAUAAUAGGUUGUUGCAUUAGAAUCCACGAAUAUGUUGCACUGCAUUCUUUAUUAUGGAUGUGGGUGAAUGCUGUAUGAUGUAAAUAGUCCCUGAGGAAAGACCAGGACCCCAUUCUACGGCCUGGCAUGAUAUGGAAUGCGAAGACCAGGUGACAGAUGAGGCCCUGGGUAAAUGGUAAGUAAUGUUAUGAUAUGACAGGAAGACCAGGACCCCAUUCUACGGCCUGGCACGGAUAUGAUGCUGGGACUAAUUGGUGACAGGUUCACCCUUGAUGUGAAUUGUCUGUGAUGUGACUCAUUUCAUGAAAGCAUGAAUGUUAAUAUAUGUUUUUACUAUUCUGCUCACUGGGCUCUAGUAGCUCACCCCUCUCCCUUAACCCCCAGGUUUGCAGGUACAGGGUAGACCAGGAGGUCAGCAAGAGUAAUGAAGUCAUGGUCAUGUAAUAGCUAGAGUGGACAUGAUAAAUGUUGUUAUGUUAUGUUGAGUACAGUCAUGUAAAAGUAUGAUAUAGAAUGUCAUGUAAUAAUGCUUAUGAAAGUUUAUAGUUGUGCUUGACCAUAGUAUUAUGUUAAUCCCUUCUAAUACAUGAUCUUAAUGUUUAAUGAUGCUUAUAUGAACCAAACUCAAUACAUGUUAUGUCACCCCUUUGGGGCAAUGAUGAGACUCCACAGAGAAGUUAAUGUUUAUGUAUAGUGCAUGCACAGGUUGAGUUUGGUGAAUGAAUGAAUGUAAAGAAAAGUUUAAAUUUUUUAUGUUUGUUGUUGAUCAUGUAUGGGAUUAAACAUGUUUACAGGAUGAUGUUAGGCUUGCUACGGGUCCCGGCGGCCUUAUGCCGACCUGGAUCCUAGCGCCGGUAGCGGUCCGGAUUUUCGGGUCGUUACAGAAGCACACAUAAAAACACAAAACACUAACCUUAGAAGAGAUAAGGGUAUUGCUGGAGCAUAGACUCCUGUGUCUCCCAGGUACAUUCUUCUAUGUUGUGGUGAUUCCAAAGGACUUUCACCAUCGGGAUUUCCUUGUUCCUCAGCUUUCUGAUCUGCAUGUCCAGGAACCGCACCAGCUGCUCAACAUAGGUGAGAUAUCCUAGAAUCUCUACAUCAGGCUCAUUAAGAACCUUG
RNAcentral lists this long non-coding RNA (16057 nucleotides) under Manihot esculenta (cassava). Its description in RNAcentral is "long non-coding RNA (MESC_LNC002368)". Lineage: Eukaryota; Viridiplantae; Streptophyta; Magnoliopsida; Malpighiales; Euphorbiaceae. The record is from RNAcentral.